CGGGGGGAAAAAGGAUUGUAGAAUUGGGUGGUUCUGCUGAAAGCCACUGAUUCCUUGAGAGAAAAGACAAUUGGUUAAAUAGCCACCAAUUCAAAGUGUAUGGGGGCUGGGGAUGUGGCUCCUUGGUAGAUUUGCCAGGCAUGCAUGAGGCUCUGGGUUUGAUCCCUAGCACUGCAAAAAGCAAAAACUACAAAGUAUGAGUGACUGGAGGCCUCCUUGGAUUUAAAAAGAUCCUCAUCUGCAAACAUAAUCACAGAAGUUCAGGUAAAAGGCUUAAUUAAGAAUGACAGGACAUCAACAAAGCCUGAAUUCACAACUGAGAUAGGUCUAACCAAAGACAGGGCUCUGGUGGGGAGGGGGUGGAAAAGAUGGGACUCUGUGGGUAGCUGUACUUAUUUAAAUCCGUAGAGUCCCUUGAAUUCGCCCUGCAAAAGUGGCUCACUAAUAUAGAACUUUCCCUCUGCUUGAUAAACCAAGAUGCCGCAAAUGAGGUGGGUGAUCUACAAGACAAUGCUGACCUUCACAAUCCGCUCCAACCUCCCUAUUGGUCUCCCAGACAGGUUAGGAAGAUAAGUCUCACCACAAUCCGACAUUAAUUGCUGGGCCUGCUAAAGGAGCACAGAGAUUCCACACCGAAGGAGCUGCAAGUCCUGGUUAGCAUGUGCUGGCAGGACCAGGAGACCAUGCCAGAGAGAGGAUCCCGAGAGUGCUGACCAGAGAGGUCAAAGUUGGAAUGGGAACACCUGACAACAUGAAGAUACUCCCUGUGUGACAGAACUUAGCAAUAUGACAAGAGGGAGAAGAGUCUAAUGCGCUGCUGAGAUGAUUCUUGAAAGCUUACGAAGGCUAAUGGCCCACAUUAAAUGAAAUAAAGGUGCCAUAACCCCUGAACAGAGGAUUAAAAGUUCAUAGAUGAUCUAGGAUGGGACUACCACCAUCAGCUACGUUUCUUGGGAGGGUCUGGG
Molecule: long non-coding RNA, 965 nt
Filed under: Marmota monax (woodchuck)
Lineage: Eukaryota; Metazoa; Chordata; Mammalia; Rodentia; Sciuridae
Source: RNAcentral